UAGGCUGGAGAGUUGGAGCUGCGCUGCUGCGCCCCAAAGUCGUGCAAAUGGCUUCUACUGCACUCUGAUAUAUGAGGUGCAAAAUGCGAGCCAGAAGGAAAAAAGUGUGAGCUCCCCCUUCCUAUCAUUUGCCCCUAAUUUAGUUUCUAUUCUGCAGCAAUGCUUUGGAUAGUGAGGAGAUUCAUAUACUGAUUUCAUGUUUCUAUGUCCUUGCAUCAAAAUUAGAUAUUGCAUUUUCCUUUUGUAAAUAUUUGUUGGUUUGGUUUCCCUAAAUUGAUUCUAUUUUGGCCACAUCUGCUUCUUGAGCUCACUGGCUGGGGACCGAGGGUGGCACGAGCCGGUGGCAACUCGGGGUCAAUCGUGGGCAUCACCGAGAUUCGUCCAGGUAUUCAUGAGGAGGAGAAACAGGAGAGGGGAGUGGUGCUGGAAUCUGGAGAUGGAGGCUGGAGGAGGGAGCUCGAGAAGCGCCGCAGGGACGGAGGUGGAGGAUCAGGUAGCGGCUGUACUGGCCUAGCGAACCAGAGGCCGUCGAUGCUGACCUGAUUCACCGCUGAACCUGUCUACAGUUUCUCCUCCCCAGGUGUGCGGAGGCCUGUGGUAAUUGGAGGACGACCCAUAUACGGAGAUGGAUGGGUGUAACGCAGAAAAGAUGGUGUGUGAGGAAGAAGAGGAGACUUAACUGCUGCUUCUCAUGUUGAUGUUCAGGCCUAACGUCAGAAAACUUGGCUACAGAUCCACUUAUGAUGAGGGUAGCAAUUCGGGUUUGCUUAUUUUUUAUCUUUUAGAGAAAAUUUACCAUUACUAUCUUAAAUCUCUGUGGGUUAGACUUUCUGAUUAUCCAACAUCCCAUGAUUAUGCUAUUAGUCAAAUACUAAAUUUUUUGCUGGUUUCCCAAUAUAAAUUUGGUUUAGGAAGGAACAUCAUGGAGGCCGCUUGCCGCAUAAGAGGCUGGAGCGGCAAGUUUGGUGUGGCUGCUCCUCUAUGCAAAGGCUGAGGUCCAACACUGACCGCAGGCAAGCCCCAUUGUAUUCACCGCUUCUCUACGUGUUGCUGGAGGAUGGCUCACAGCAUGCGAAGCAUUUAGCUUAGGUGAGAUCUUCUCUUUUCCACUUGGGUUCUUUUUCCUUAUGUCUAUAUUUAUGAAUUUCUAUUGCUGUUUUGCACAUUCCUUACUGGGAAUAAACAGAGGGGAAGCUUGAAGGCAUUUUAUCUAGGAAAAUGUGCAUGCUCCAAUGUAUGAUCAGAGUUUUUAGUUAAUUAUGUUUGCUUCAUCUGAUCCUAUGUGAGAGUUCCUCUCUCUGUUUUUAGUUGAUCUUCUUGCAUCCUUUUUUUAGAGUAUACUACGUAGCUUCCAGUACAGCUUCUUGCAAGGCUUCCACACUGUAAUGUAUGCAAACUAUCAAUCUAUAACUUAAAAAUGGAAAAGCUUUUCAGAAAUAUAGCAUGCAACAUUCACGAAAGUCUUCAUGUAUUUUAUCAAAUGUUGCUUUCUUACCCGGUGGUCUGUGGUCUCUCUUCUUCAGUUUGAAUGUAUUGAAAAGAUCUACUAAUAUGGUUUUCAUAUAUAUAAUUUAUAAUGUUUUUCCAGUCUCGUUUCAUAAGCCAACAUGGUAAGAUCUCUAGCGAAUUUACUCUCAGUGUCUAUUGUAAUAUUUUAAUUCAGUA
Molecule: long non-coding RNA, 1665 nt
Organism: Lolium rigidum
Lineage: Eukaryota; Viridiplantae; Streptophyta; Magnoliopsida; Poales; Poaceae
Exons: 5
Source: RefSeq, a predicted model, not a curated record